AAAAAAAAUGAGUUUGAUCC
Molecule: ribosomal RNA, 20 nt
Filed under: Laminaria ochroleuca
Lineage: Eukaryota; Phaeophyceae; Laminariales; Laminariaceae
Description: partial 16S ribosomal RNA
Source: RNAcentral